AUUGAACGCUGGCGGCAUGCCUUACACAUGCAAGUCGAACGGCAGCACGGGGGCAAUCCUGGUGGCGAGUGGCGAACGGGUGAGUAAAGUAUCGGAACGUGCCCAGUCGUGGGGGAUAACGUAGCGAAAGUUACGCUAAUACCGCAUACGAUCUAUGGAUGAAAGCGGGGGAUCGCAAGACCUCGCGCGAUUGGAGCGGCCGAUAUCAGAUUAGGUAGUUGGUGGGGUAAAGGCUCACCAAGCCGACGAUCUGUAGCUGGUCUGAGAGGACGACCAGCCACACUGGGACUGAGACACGGCCCAGACUCCUACGGGAGGCAGCAGUGGGGAAUUUUGGACAAUGGGCGAAAGCCUGAUCCAGCCAUGCCGCGUGCAGGAUGGAGGCCUUCGGAUUGUAAACUGCUUUUGUACGGAACGAAAAGGUUUGGCCUAAUAAGCUGAGCUCAUGACGGUACCGUAAGAAUAAGCACCGGCUAACUACAUGCCAGCCGCCGCGGUAA
RNAcentral lists this ribosomal RNA (500 nucleotides) under uncultured bacterium. RNAcentral's name for it is "partial 16S ribosomal RNA". It matches the Rfam family "Bacterial small subunit ribosomal RNA", at positions 30 to 523 of the family's 1533-position model. The record is from RNAcentral.